ACAGUUGGGGGCAUCAGUAUUCUGAAGCGAGAGGUGAAAUUCUUGGACCUUCGGAAGACUAACAACUGCGAAAGCAUUUGCCUAGGAUGUUCUCUUUAAUCAAGAACGAAGGUUGGGGGAUCGAAGACGAUCAGAUACCGUCGUAGUCUCAGCUAUAAACUAUGCCAGCUAGGGAUGGGUUGAUGUUUUAACUACGACUCAAUCCGCACCUUAUGAGAAAUCAAAGCAUUUGGGUUCCGGGGGGAGUAUGGUCGCAAGGCUGAAACUUAAAGGAAUUGACGGGAGGGCACCACCAGGAGUGGAGCCUGUGGCUUAAUUUGACUCAACACGGGAAAACUUACCAGGUCCGGACAUAGCGAGGAUUGACAGAUUGAUAGCUCUUUCUUGAUUCUAUGGGUGGUGGUGCAUGGCCGUUCU
RNAcentral lists this ribosomal RNA (417 nucleotides) under uncultured marine eukaryote. RNAcentral's name for it is "SSU rRNA". It matches the Rfam family "Eukaryotic small subunit ribosomal RNA", at positions 878 to 1294 of the family's 1831-position model. The record is from RNAcentral.